UACGUAGGGACCAAGCGUUGUCCGGAAUCAUUGGGCGUAAAGCGCGCGUAGGUGGCCAUUUAAGUCCGCUGUGAAAGUCAGAGGCUCAACCUUUGAAAGCCGGUGGAUACUGGAUGGCUAGAGUACGGAAGAGGCGAGUGGAAUUCCUGGUGUAGCGGUGGAAUGCGCAGAUAUCAGGAGGAACCCCAACAGCGAAGGCAGAUCUCUGGG
Molecule: ribosomal RNA, 210 nt
Filed under: uncultured bacterium
Lineage: Bacteria
Description: partial 16S ribosomal RNA
Rfam family: Bacterial small subunit ribosomal RNA
Source: RNAcentral